Molecule: ribosomal RNA, 700 nt
Filed under: Microbacterium ginsengiterrae
Lineage: Bacteria; Bacillati; Actinomycetota; Actinomycetes; Micrococcales; Microbacteriaceae
Description: bacterial SSU rRNA
Rfam family: Bacterial small subunit ribosomal RNA
Source: RNAcentral
ACGGGUAGCCGGCCUGAGAGGGUGACCGGCCACACUGGGACUGAGACACGGCCCAGACUCCUACGGGAGGCAGCAGUGGGGAAUAUUGCACAAUGGGCGAAAGCCUGAUGCAGCAACGCCGCGUGAGGGAUGACGGCCUUCGGGUUGUAAACCUCUUUUAGCAGGGAAGAAGCGAAAGUGACGGUACCUGCAGAAAAAGCGCCGGCUAACUACGUGCCAGCAGCCGCGGUAAUACGUAGGGCGCAAGCGUUAUCCGGAAUUAUUGGGCGUAAAGAGCUCGUAGGCGGUUUGUCGCGUCUGCUGUGAAAUCCCGAGGCUCAACCUCGGGCCUGCAGUGGGUACGGGCAGACUAGAGUGCGGUAGGGGAGAUUGGAAUUCCUGGUGUAGCGGUGGAAUGCGCAGAUAUCAGGAGGAACACCGAUGGCGAAGGCAGAUCUCUGGGCCGUAACUGACGCUGAGGAGCGAAAGGGUGGGGAGCAAACAGGCUUAGAUACCCUGGUAGUCCACCCCGUAAACGUUGGGAACUAGUUGUGGGGUCCAUUCCACGGAUUCCGUGACGCAGCUAACGCAUUAAGUUCCCCGCCUGGGGAGUACGGCCGCAAGGCUAAAACUCAAAGGAAUUGACGGGGACCCGCACAAGCGGCGGAGCAUGCGGAUUAAUUCGAUGCAACGCGAAGAACCUUACCAAGGCUUGACAUAU